CGAUAGCAAUACGAAAUACAUCACUAAGAACAUAAAGGGAAUGUUGGGGAUGCCUAGCGUAAGAUUGAUAGGAGGUCAAUUGAAAAGCCUCUGUAAAGUAUAAGUCAGGGGCGAUCCUAAGGAAAACCAUGUAGACGGUCUAGAACAUAGAUUCGUCUUUAUACGACCUUCUGAACCAAAACAUUGUAGUAAGAAGAGGAACGUAAAUCAACCGAGAAAUGCUUAGUAGCGGCGAGCGAAUAGCAUAUAGCCAUGUCUUAUAGACACACUAAAAAGGCAAUGAAUCUAAUACACUGUCUGCCUUUCGUUUAAAAAGCGGAAGGAAUGUGAUUAGGAUAAUCUAACCAGAGAAGGUGAGAGUCCUGUGGAAACAUCUUUUUACUGACAAUCCGAUACAUAUUCGUAUUCGGAAGUAGAGCGGAGGAAAGUCUGCUUGAAUAACGGGCAACGAUCCUCGAGGCUAAAUACAAUCUUACAGCGAUAGCGCACUAGUAACGCGAGUGAAAGGUGAAAAAGAAAGUCGAUGACAAUUGAAAUAGAACUGAACCAGCAUUCCUAUAAGCAGUCAGAGUACUUAAUUACUAUGAUGGCGUACCUUUUGCAUAAUGGGUCGCUCACUUUACGUCGUACGCAAGGUGAAAGCCGAAGCGAAAGCGACUAGACAUAUACAUGUUAUGGUGUAGUGUGCGGCGUAAGACCCGAAACGAAGUGAUCUUACCACGAGCAGGAUAUAAUGGUCCGAACCAGUUAACGUUGUAGAGUUAUUCGAUGACUUGUGGUAAGGGGCGAAAGGCCAACCUAACUUCGUGAUAGUUGGCUCUCCACGAAAUGCAUUGAAGUGCAGCCAGUGGUUUAAUAUACUUUAGGAUGUACGGCACUGGUACAUGAUUUGGCGGGGUGAAAUCCGUACUUACAUGUGCUAACCCCGGAAGGCCUAAAACUAAUUUCCACUGAGUGAGUCUUAUGGCGAUAAGGUCGUAGGAAAAGACGGAAACAGCCGUCAGUACAAGUUAACGCCCCGAAAUAGUGUUUAAGUGAAUAUAAGGAAGUUUGGUUCUCUAAACAGCUCGUAUGUGGGCUUGGAAGCAGCCACCAUACAAUGAGAGCGUAACAGCUCACGAGCCUAGUAAUGCUUUAGUCUAACUAAAGUGGGAAACAAGCGCCGAAGAUUAACGGGUCUAGAACACUUGCGGAUACUGUACCUUAGAUCAUAUUACAGAUCUAGGAGUAGUGGAGCGUACGAGUCGGUUGAAGAAUAGUCAUCGAUUAUUUGGACGUCCUGGUAGUGAGAAUGGCGACAUGAGUAAUGAAAUGCGUGUAGAAUCACGCACACCGAAUGCGAGAGGGUUCCAAUGGACAAGUUGUACUUCCUUGGGUUAAAACGGCCUCUAAGGGAUAAAAUACGUAUAUCAUUAUAUACUUUGCUGAUGAGAUUCUAGCAGAAAGUCCUAUAUUAUAGGGCCAAGAAAAUAAUGCUUGUAUAUUACCGUACUCUAAACCGACACAGGUUCGCUGGUAGAGAAUACUAAGGUGAACGAGCGAAUGUGAGUGAAGGAACUCGGCAAAAUGCGUCCGUAACUUUGAGGAGAAGGACGACCUAACUGAAGAUUAUGUCUUCAGAAGGUGGCACAAAAUCGGGGACUGGGACUGUUUACCUAAAACACAGAUCUUUGCUAAGGUUAAAACCGUUGUAUAAGGAUCGAAUUCUGGCCUAUGCUACUGAAUAACGAAAAUAGUGUUAAGCUAGGUUCGGAACAGGUAGUCAAUGCCAGCCCUAACUAUAAGGCUUCUAAGGUAGCGAAAUUCCUUGGCCACUAAUUAUGGUCCCGCAUGAAUGAGGUAACGAUGGUCCUACUGUCUCCACUCAUAGCUCGAUGAAAUUGAAUUAGCCGUGCAGAUGCGGUUUGCCUCCAGGUAAGCGGGAAGACCCCAUGCAGCUUUACUGCAGGAAGGUAUUGCUUGGGCUUGACUGGUUUAGAGGAAGUGGAUUACACGAAACUAUAACACCUUUUGACUGCUCGACUGGAGCUCUACGUAAAAUACGGACAGUGCCUUCUGGGUAGUUUUACUGGGACGGUAGCCUAACAAAUAGUAACUAAGGCUUCCAUAGGCAUGUUUAGUUUGAUUGGGAACCAAAUCAUCAUGUAAGAUGAAAACAAGCGCAAUAGUAUAUGCAUGCUACACUGAAAGACAGAUGUGUCGAUCAGCUGUUCCUACAAAUACGUGUAUAUUUGUAGACGCAGGGUAUAGUGAACCGGUACUUGAAUAUGGAAUUGGUAUCGUUCAACAGGCUGAUAGCAGGUGAGAGUCCAUAUCGAUCCUGCUGUUUCGCACCUCGAUGUCGACUCAGCACAUCCUUCUGCUGUAGCAGGUGGAAAGGGUCCGGCUGUUCGCCGGUUAAAGUGCUACGUGAGCUGGGUUCAGUACGUCGUAAGAGAGUACGGUUCCUACUUUCUGGAGGAAAAUUGAAUAAAUAUAACAGGUCUUCUCAGUACGAAAGGACUUGAAGGCAGAUACCUAUGGUGUACGAGUUGUGGAGAUUGUAUAUAUACAAUUAGCAUCGCUGGGUAGCUACGUAUCUAAACCAUAAGUGCUGAAGGCAUCUUAACCACGAAGCAGAGUUAUGGAUAUUCUCAGAUAGCUCGAGGAAGACUACCUCGUUGAUAGCCCACACGUGUACAGACUGAAAGGUCAGUGCUUAAUGCACGAAUAGCGUAGUGGCACUAAUUGCUAUUAGU
Molecule: ribosomal RNA, 2738 nt
Filed under: Sterigmatomyces sp.
Lineage: Eukaryota; Fungi; Basidiomycota; Agaricostilbomycetes; Agaricostilbales; Agaricostilbaceae
Description: large subunit ribosomal RNA
Rfam family: Bacterial large subunit ribosomal RNA
Source: RNAcentral